AAAGAGAAAAAUUUGAGCUGCUAACUUAAAAUUUAAGCGGUUAAACUCCGUUUUUUCUUUG
This 61-nucleotide transfer RNA is filed under the name Novacerus sp. FZ-2019. Its description in RNAcentral is "tRNA-Ser". Lineage: Eukaryota; Metazoa; Arthropoda; Collembola; Entomobryomorpha; Tomoceridae. The record is from RNAcentral.